GCCAGCUCAUUUGGUAGAGCAUGAGGCAUUUGGUAGUGGGUAGAGCAUUUCAGGGUCGUGGGUUCAAGCCCCACAUUGGGCA
Molecule: non-coding RNA, 82 nt
Organism: Podarcis lilfordi (Lilford's wall lizard)
Lineage: Eukaryota; Metazoa; Chordata; Lepidosauria; Squamata; Lacertidae
Source: the annotation of a GenBank genome assembly